UAGGCUGUACACAUUUAAAUUUGAACGAUGUAACUUCUUGAUAAAGUAAAGACAGCAUUUUUAAAUUAAAAAAAGUUAGUUUUAAAACAAUUUAGAGCAAACUUCAGGACCAUUUCAUAUAAAUUUAAAUAUUAUCUGAUUUGGAUUAUAUUCUCUCUCAUGACAGAUAAGAUGAUAAGAAAGUCCUCAUAAAUGUAUAUAAAAUGUUAUUUUAUACCUAUGUGACUUGAAAUGCUAAGAAG
Molecule: long non-coding RNA, 242 nt
Organism: Sapajus apella (tufted capuchin)
Lineage: Eukaryota; Metazoa; Chordata; Mammalia; Primates; Cebidae
Exons: 2
Source: RefSeq, a predicted model, not a curated record